Molecule: ribosomal RNA, 253 nt
Filed under: uncultured bacterium
Lineage: Bacteria
Description: partial 16S ribosomal RNA
Rfam family: Bacterial small subunit ribosomal RNA
Source: RNAcentral
UACGAAGGGUGCAAACGUUGUUCGGAAUCAUUGGGCGUAAAGCGCGCGUAGGCGGCCUUGCAAGUCGGAUGUGAAAUCCCACGGCUCAACCGUGGACGUGCAUCCGAAACUGCUCGGCUCGAGUAUGGAAGAGGGUCGCGGAAUUCCCGGUGUAGAGGUGAAAUUCGUAGAUAUCAGGAGGAACACCGGUGGCGAAGGCGGGUCUCUGGGCCGAUACUGACGCUGAGGAGCGAAAGCGUGGGGAGCGAACAGG